RNAcentral lists this ribosomal RNA (484 nucleotides) under uncultured bacterium. RNAcentral's name for it is "partial 16S ribosomal RNA". It matches the Rfam family "Bacterial small subunit ribosomal RNA", at positions 29 to 507 of the family's 1533-position model. The record is from RNAcentral.
AUUGAACGCUGGCGGCAUGCUUUACACAUGCAAGUCGAACGGCAGCGCGGGCUUCGGCCUGGCGGCGAGUGGCGAACGGGUGAGUAAUACAUCGGAACGUGCCCAGUAGUGGGGGAUAGCUCGGCGAAAGCCGGAUUAAUACCGCAUACGACCUGAGGGUGAAAGCGGGGGAUCUUCGGACCUCGCGCUAUUGGAGCGGCCGAUGGCAGAUUAGCUAGUUGGUGGGGUAAAGGCCUACCAAGGCGACGAUCUGUAGCUGGUCUGAGAGGACGACCAGCCACACUGGGACUGAGACACGGCCCAGACUCCUCCGGGAGGCAGCAGUGGGGAAUUUUGGACAAUGGGCGAAAGCCUGAUCCAGCAAUGCCGCGUAUGUGAUGAAGGCCUUCGGGUUGUAAAGCACUUUUGGCGGGAACGAAAAGGACUGUGCCAAUACCACGGUUCGAUGACGGUACCCGCAGAAUAAGCACCGGCUAACUACGUG